This 484-nucleotide ribosomal RNA is filed under the name uncultured bacterium. Its description in RNAcentral is "partial 16S ribosomal RNA". It matches the Rfam family "Bacterial small subunit ribosomal RNA", at positions 30 to 507 of the family's 1533-position model. The record is from RNAcentral.
AUUGAACGCUGGCGGAAUGCUUUACACAUGCGAGUCGAACGGCAGCACGGGGGCAGCCCUGGUGGCGAGUGGCGAACGGGUGAGUAAUACAUCGGAACGUGCCCGGUCGUGGGGGAUAACGUAGCGAAAGUUACGCUAAUACCGCAUACGAUCUGAGGAUGAAAGCGGGGGACCUUCGGGCCUCGCGCGAUCGGAGCGGCCGAUGUCAGAUUAGGUAGUUGGUGGGGUAAAGGCCUACCAAGCCGACGAUCUGUAGCUGGUCUGAGAGGACGACCAGCCACACUGGGACUGAGACACAGCCCAGACUCCUACGGGAGGCAGCAGUGGGGAAUUUUGGACAAUGGGCGCAAGCCUGAUCCAGCCAUUCCGCGUGCAGGACGAAGGCCUUCGGGUUGUAAACUGCUUUUGUACGGAACGAAAAGGCUCUGGCUAAUACCUGGGGCUCAUGACGGUACCGUAAGAAUAAGCACCGGCUAACUACGUG